Molecule: unclassified non-coding RNA, 254 nt
Filed under: uncultured Acidimicrobiia bacterium
Lineage: Bacteria; Bacillati; Actinomycetota; Acidimicrobiia
Description: contains 16S-23S intergenic spacer region
Rfam family: Bacterial small subunit ribosomal RNA
Source: RNAcentral
UACGUAGUGUCCGAGCGUUAUCGGGCAUCAUUGGGCGGAGAGAGCGCGUAGGCGGUUCAGCAAGUCGGCUGUGAAAGUCCGAGGCUCAACCUCGGAAUUGCAGUCGAUACUGCUGUGACUCGAGUCCGGUAGAGGAGAGUGGAAUUCUCGGUGUAGCGGUGAAAUGCGCAGAUAUCGAGAGGAACACCAGUAGCGAAGGCGGUUCUCUGGGCCGGCACUGACGCUGAGGAGCGAAAGCGUGGGGAGCAAACAGG